Molecule: ribosomal RNA, 189 nt
Filed under: uncultured bacterium
Lineage: Bacteria
Description: partial 16S ribosomal RNA
Rfam family: Bacterial small subunit ribosomal RNA
Source: RNAcentral
CCUACGGGAGGCAGCAGUGAGGAAUAUUGCGCAAUGGGGGAAACCCUGACGCAGCGACGCCGCGUGCAGGAUGACUGCCCUAUGGGUUGUAAACUGCUUUUAGCAGAGACGAAACGCCUUCAUUUAUGAGGGUCUGACGGUAUCUGCAGAAUAAGCCCCGGCUAACUCCGUGCCAGCAGCCGCGGUAAU